UUCUAUGGCGCACCGUGCAGGGCAGGCUUCGGCCUGGCCGGGUUCCUUGGUUUCCGGUUUGCGACCCCUGUACGGUGUGCCACCCAU
This 87-nucleotide non-coding RNA is filed under the name Pseudomonas brenneri. RNAcentral also lists the same sequence under 2 other names. Lineage: Bacteria; Pseudomonadati; Pseudomonadota; Gammaproteobacteria; Pseudomonadales; Pseudomonadaceae. The record is from RNAcentral.